This 484-nucleotide ribosomal RNA is filed under the name uncultured bacterium. RNAcentral describes it as "partial 16S ribosomal RNA". It matches the Rfam family "Bacterial small subunit ribosomal RNA", at positions 28 to 523 of the family's 1533-position model. The record is from RNAcentral.
GAUGAACGCUGGCGGCGUGCUUAACACAUGCAAGUCGAACGGUGAAGCAGGAGCUUGCUCUUGUGGAUCAGUGGCGAACGGGUGAGUAACACGUGAGCAACCUGCCCCUGACUCUGGGAUAAGCGCUGGAAACGGCGUCUAAUACUGGAUAUGUGAUGUGACCGCAUGGUCUGCAUCUGGAAAGAAUUUCGGUUGGGGAUGGGCUCGCGGCCUAUCAGCUUGUUGGUGAGGUAAUGGCUCACCAAGGCGUCGACGGGUAGCCGGCCUGAGAGGGUGACCGGCGACACUGGGACUGAGCAACGGCCCAGACUCCUACGGGAGGCAGCAGUGGGGAAUAUGGCACAAUGGGCGGAAGCCUGAUGCAGCAACGCCGCGUGAGGGAUGACGGCCUUCGGGUUGUAAACCUCUUUUAGCAGGGAAGAAGCGAAAGUGACGGUACCUGCAGAAAAAGCACCGGCUAACUACGUGCCAGCCGCCGCCGUAA